AGUGGCAGACGGGUGAGUAACGCGUGGGAACGUACCUUUCACUACGGAAUAGCUCCGGGAAACUGGUGGUAAUACCGUAUACGCCCUAAGGGGGAAAGAUUUAUCGGUGAAAGAUCGGCCCGCGUUGGAUUAGCUAGUUGGUGAGGUAAUGGCUCACAAAGGCGACGAUCCAUAGCUGGUCUGAGAGGAUGAUCAGCCACACUGGGACUGAGACACGGCCCAGACUCCUACGGGAGGCAGCAGUGGGGAAUCUUGCACAAUGGGCGAAAGCCUGAUGCAGCCAUGCCGCGUGAAUGAUGAAGGCCUUAGGGUUGUAAAAUUCUUUCGUCAGGGAUGAUAAUGACCGUACCUGAAGAAGAAGCCCCGGCUAACUUCGUGCCAGCAGCCGCGGUAAUACGAAGGGGGCUAGCGUUGUUCGGAAUUACUGGGCGUAAAGCGCACGUAGGCGGACUUUUAAGUCAGGUGUGAAAUCCCGGGGCUCAACCUCGGAACUGCAUUUGAAACUGGAAGUCUUGAGACCAGGAGAGGUUAGCGGAAUACCGAGUGUAGAGGUGAAAUUCGUAGAUAUUCGGUGGAACACCAGUGGCGAAGGCGGCUAACUGGACUGGUACUGACGCUGAGGUGCGAAAGUGUGGGGAGCAAACAGGAUUAGAUACCCUGGUAGUCCACACCGUAAACGAUGAGAGCUAGUUGUUGGCA
RNAcentral lists this ribosomal RNA (699 nucleotides) under uncultured Hyphomonas sp. RNAcentral describes it as "bacterial SSU rRNA". It matches the Rfam family "Bacterial small subunit ribosomal RNA", at positions 94 to 828 of the family's 1533-position model. Lineage: Bacteria; Pseudomonadati; Pseudomonadota; Alphaproteobacteria; Hyphomonadales; Hyphomonadaceae. The record is from RNAcentral.